ACCACUUCUCGGCCUUUGGGCUAAGAUCAAGUGUAGUAUCAGUUUUAGGACUAGAUGUUCUUCCAGUCCAUACAGGUAGCAUAAAACAAAUAAGUCCUAUUGAUCUUUGUGGUGGAGAUGUUAAAAAGAAAAGGGUUUACUUUUUAUCACAGCUGGUGAAUCUGACCAGUGUCAGUCAAAUUUUG
Small nuclear RNA from Lacerta agilis (Sand lizard), 185 nucleotides. RefSeq annotates it as U2 spliceosomal RNA. The transcript has a single exon. The record is from RefSeq and is a predicted model, not a curated record. NCBI's taxonomy places the organism in Eukaryota, Metazoa, Chordata, Lepidosauria, Squamata, Lacertidae.